Molecule: long non-coding RNA, 21301 nt
Filed under: Gossypium barbadense (sea-island cotton)
Lineage: Eukaryota; Viridiplantae; Streptophyta; Magnoliopsida; Malvales; Malvaceae
Description: long non-coding RNA (GBAR_LNC014421)
Source: RNAcentral
CCCGCUUAAAUUGUUGUUCCUGAGAUCGAAACUGACCGUCACCGGUAAGUCGCCCAAGCUUUUCGGGAGAUUACCGGAUAAGUGAUUGUAGGAUAGAUUGAGAGUGCCCGACAAUGAGUUUAACUCUCCGAUGGUACUAGGGAUCGGUCCCUUGAAUUCAUUCGAAGAAAGAUCGAGUUGGACCAAGUUGUCUAAUUCCGGCCAAAUUCCGCCGGGAAUUUCGCCGGAAAACUUGUUUGAGCUAGAAUCAACCGCUGCAACUGCUUGCAGUUCUUGAGAUUCUCAGGCAAAGAACCCGACAGCGAAUUGUAGGAGAGAUCGAGGUUUUGCAGCCUCGGAAGCUUGCAGAUCGAAGGAGGCAGCGAACCGGACAGAUUGUUACCGUAAAGAAACAAGCUGUGAAGUGACGUGGCCAUUGAACAGUUGGUCCGGUAUAGACCAUAGAAGAAGUUAUUGUGAAGAUUCAUCUUCUGAGAUAGAUUAAAUUUCCAAGCUCGGACGGGACUAGCCUCGCAGAUUCUUCGCGGAAACGGCCGACUCCGACGACACGCGGGUCAGGAAAUCCUGAAAUGUUCUUGCAAGAAACGCCGGACCAAUUACACGGCUCCUCAUCGGUUCUCAUCCAGUCGGCGAAGACUGAGUGGCCUGAAGGUUGGUCCACGGCAGAUUUAAUGAGAGAAGAGAAAGGCCGUCAGGAGAAAGGGAAAAGGCCAGUUUCAAGGAGGGAAGAGGAAGAGGAAGAAGAGGCCAAAGAGAACCAGCUUCUUCAUGAUCUAUAAAAGACGAGUGUUUUUUUGGUUUCCCUUGUUCUCGUGACAAAUAAAAAUGUGGGCUUUAAAGAGACUAGCCAAGAGUCUUGAGACAUGAAAAAAAUGAUUACAAUAAAAUGAUUUAUAUUAGCAGUAAAUUAAAAAUGUAGGAGGAGUAAAUUGUAAGAGUUUGAAAAAGAGUUUAUGAAUGCUCAAAAACGGAGCUGAGGAGUUGUUUGUAGUAGAAGAAAAGCAAGUUGGUGGAAAUGAAAAUAGAAAAUAAAGAAGGAUAAAUUGUGUAUGGGAAGAGAAAGUGUUUAAACUUGUUUUGUUGACCAAAGAUAUCCAAUUUCUUUUUGGUACUUGGGAAGAUGCAAUUAUAUUUGUAAGAAGAAAAUGGGAAUGUUUAGCUUGCACUUAUAUUAACAAAAGCGUAAUAAUAAUUAUGCAAGCAAUCUUGAGUACCUAACUACCCAAUUAUAAUUACUUUAUUCUUUACUUGGGAUUACCUACUAAUGUAAUUUUUAAAUCCCUCAAUUCACUUUAUCUUUCCUUUUUUUUUACUGUGAAUGGUAAAAAAAUGUAAUUUUAACUUGCUUUGUACUAAAAAUUUACUAUUAUAUAUAAGACUAAUUAUUUAGUAAAUAAACCAUGAAACUUAUGGUUUGAAACCAUUAUUAACAAUAACAUAUAAAAUAUAUACGAUAUUAAAUAAAAAUAAUAUUAAUUGAGCAAAAUGUUUUUUUUUUUGGUAAAAAAGCAAACAAAAGGAGUUACAUCAAAUUAAAAUGUUCAAAAGCACCGUUGGCUUGAUCUUUUUGUAGCACUUUUAAGACUUUAUUAGGGCCAUCUUCAUAAACCUAUAAACCUGAUUCCCACUUUAAACUUAAUUUAGCAAAACUAUCGGUGGCAAGAUUAUCUUCUCUAGGAAUAUACUUGAUAAACCACUGACUUUCAGUUCUCAUAAUUCGUUGGACCUCCUGAGUACAGUGAUUCCCGCAUCCACUAACAUACCAUCAUGCAAAGCUUAACCACUUCCAGAUUAUCGAUUUGAAUGAUUGCUUUGUUGAAACCUUUGCUAAGUAGAAUAAGUAUGCCAUCUAGAAUGCCCAAUAGUUCAGCCUCGAAAGCUGAGUAUUUUCCCAGGCAGUGAUUGUACCCCAAGAUCCAACUUCCAUUUUGAUUACGCAGCACACCACCAACAGCAAUGCUUCAACAUCUAUCAAUUGCACCAUCAAUGAAAAGAUGUACCCAAUUGUCUAUUAAGGAUAUUCAAAUACCAGUAGGAGAGUAAUUUGAGCAAAUAAAUUUUAAACACGUAAAUACAUUACAUUAAAAUCUUAAAUGCAUUACAAUUGUUUAUCGUGAUGUUGUCAUCAAUACUUGUGGCACAAACUCAAUCAAACAUUAAUAAUAUAUACAAUUAAUGGAUGUAAUAAAGAAUGUAAAAUAUAAUUAAAAUGUAAAUAUUAUUUUACAAUAAAGUUUUAAUUUAGCAAUAAAGUUAAUGUUUUAUUGAUGUAAAUAGCACACGUUCAAAUCCAAUCAUAUGUAAAUUUUAUUGAUUUUUUUAAAAAAUAAAAAGAUUAAAUACUCUCGAAUAAUAUAACUUAUUUUAAUUAUGGAAGGUCAAUUCCGUGACUUCCCUAACUAAGUUGGUGCUCAAUUGACUCGUAACACCAACUCAAUCAAGGGCUUAAUUAUAGUAUACAUACAAUUGGUGGAAAAUAUUUGCUCCACAAGUAGGUUGAGAUUUUAGUCGUGUACUUUUUUUUAGGAACGUAGUUUUUCAACUUUUUAGAUUUCAAAAUUUAGUUCCACUUGUUAACAUGUUGAAAUUAUUUUGUUAAAUCAGGGUUCCUUACAUCGCCAUNNNNNNNNNNNNNNNNNNNNNNNNNNNNNNNNNNNNNNNNNNNNNNNNNNNNNNNNNNNNNNNNNNNNNNNNNNNNNNNNNNNNNNNNNNNNNNNNNNNNNNNNNNNNNNNNNNNNNNNNNNNNNNNNNNNNNNNNNNNNNNNNNNNNNNNNNNNNNNNNNNNNNNNNNNNNNNNNNNNNNNNNNNNNNNNNNNNNNNNNNNNNNNNNNNNNNNNNNNNNNNNNNNNNNNNNNNNNNNNNNNNNNNNNNNNNNNNNNNNNNNNNNNNNNNNNNNNNNNNNNNNNNNNNNNNNNNNNNNNNNNNNNNNNNNNNNNNNNNNNNNNNNNNNNNNNNNNNNNNNNNNNNNNNNNNNNNNNNNNNNNNNNNNNNNNNNNNNNNNNNNNNNNNNNNNNNNNNNNNNNNNNNNNNNNNNNNNNNNNNNNNNNNNNNNNNNNNNNNNNNNNNNNNNNNNNNNNNNNNNNNNNNNNNNNNNNNNNNNNNNNNNNNNNNNNNNNNNNNNNCGUCUGGAUCCACUGAAUUAUGUGGACGAAGUACAAAUUAGAAAACAGUACAACGUAUGGAGACACGUUUUCUCACCUGUCCCAGAUGAACGUAAGUGGCCGCCCGUAUCUCUUGCUCCUUUUAAGCUGUUUACCGGAUAGAGAAUUGCGUCGCAAGCCGAAGGGUCGACCUUUCUCCACUAGAACGAAACAAUAUGGAUAUCCGAGAAACAACCAGUCAACAGAAUUGUGCGGAUGGUGUAGGAACCCAGGCCAUACAAGUCGAUCAUGCCCUAAUCGCAAUAGUUGAAUGUAAUUAUAGAAGAAAUACCUUUUAUUCAAUUAUGUAUUGAUAAUUGUAUUAAAUUUUGGUUAAAUCAUCAAAUUACUACAAUUUCUUAAAUGUUAGUACCAGUCAAAAACAUUUUACGAAAUCCAACAUUAUGUAAAACUACAUUUAACUAGGGUUUUUAAUUAAGUAGGGUUUGGGUUUUUAAUUUAAUUAAAUUAGGGUUUUUAAUUAAGUAGGGUAGGGUUUUUAAUUUAAUUAAAAUAAGGUUAGGGUUUUAAUUUAAUUAAAUUAGGUUAGGGUUAGGGUUUUUAAUUAAGUAGGGUUUAGGGUUUUUAAUUUAAUUAAAUUAGGGUUUUUAAUUAAGUAGGGGUUAGGGUUUUUAAUUUAAUUAAACGGUUAGGGUUUUUAAUUUAAUAAUUAGGUUAGGGUUCGGGUUUUUACUUAAGUAGGGUUUAGGGUUUUUAAUUUAAUUAAAUUAGGGUUUUUCAUUAAGUAAGGUUGGGUUUUUUAAUUUAAUUAAAAUAAGGUUAGGGUUUUUAAUUUAAUUUUAGGGUUUUUAAUUACGUAGGGUAGGGUUUUUAAUUAAAAUAAGGUUAGGGUUUUUAAUUUCCUUCGGUUAGGUUCGGGUUUUUUUUAAGUCGGUUAGGUUCGGGUUUUUAAUUUAAAAUAAGGUUCGGGUUUUUAAAUUCGGUUAGGUUAGGGUUUUUCCUUUUUAAUUAGGUUCGGGUUAGGGUUUUACUUCGUCGGGUUUCGGGUUUUUUUUUUAGGGUUUUUCCUAGUCGGGUUAGGGUUUUUUAAUCCCUAAUGUCCCCCUAACUCGGAACUUCUCUUUGUAUUACAUCGUCAUCACUUCUAAUUCAUUACUCUGAUUUUUAAUACGGUAAUCAAUAUCUAUGACCAGGGGAUUCAGUUCCACAUGGCGGCCGUCGACUGUUACGCGCUGGAUUCCUCUUUUCUUUAGCUUCCAGCGGCGGUUGUUGUUCCUCCGGUGGGGAUUCUAGUUCUUCCGGUUCGGCAUCUGGUUGUCGGACUUGGGACGAUGAUCCACCUUCAAAGAAUAGUGUAUGUGGAGGUGUUUGCAUCAUGAACGGCGACGGAGUUUGAAAGUCAUGCGUUGCUGGCGAUUGGUAAAAAUGAGAGCUCCCCGACGGCCCCCCUUGCGACCCCUCCUGCGCCGAUGGCCUAGUUAUCGGUGGUCCGCUCGGUAUUACAGGAAAUGGAGCUGAUCCGGGCAUUUGGCUCCAACCUGCAAUAGGAUUCGGAAAAGGAUACAUGUACGGGUUAGGGUACAUAUAAGGGCUAGGAAAUAUACCUGCAUCAUAGGGAAAGGUGAAUGCGUGGGUAUCAUCUGUUGAAUUGCUGUGCCAGGUGACUGCGUUGGUGCUCUCGUUGGGGACGGUGAUUGCAUGGUCGCUGAUGAUGAACCGGGUGAAUGUCUGGGCCUCGUUGAGGGGCUGCCCUCGUAGUUUUGUCCCCUUGGAUUUUGAGGCCCGCGCCUUUCCCUUUCGACACGUAUUUACCGCCGCCUCUCCUCCGGCGUAAGUAAAUACGGCUUCCCAUGGGCCCUAAACCAUGGUAUGUAUUCUGGAACGCACGCUAACUCGGGAACGAUGAUUGGUUCCCGAGUAGGUAGAUAUUCAUUCCGAUUUUCCCACAUUUCUGUAUACACUGACCAGUACAACGGCCAAUCCGUACCUAAUAGCCGAAGGUCGAUUUUGUGGUGCUCGUCAAACUACUCAGGGUCCGCAGGGAUCGGUUGUCUACAUCCAAACUGUCGUAGGACUCUGUCUGUUUGGUGGGGCUCCACGGUUGUAUAGUUGAUCAACACCACUUUCACGUGCCAAGCGUUCGGAUUUUGUAAAAACUCUUCUGGGAUUACUGCCUGGACUGCCGGAUCCUCGUAUGGUGUCCAUUGAAACUACAUGAACAUGAUAGAAAUAUUACAUAUAUACAUAAUACUAAAUACUAAAUAUCAAUCCACUAGCGAAUGUAUGGAAAUAUCUAGUUGCAUAAUACUUACUUCUGCUUCCGAGCGUUGCUCCAAUAGAAGCCGUAUAUCUUCAAGUUCAGUCAGUAUUCCACGAUAACUUGCCGGAUGGUUCCACCUAAUUAAAUAAAUUUUUAAUAUUCUUUUAUUCUUACAAAAUCUACAUAUCAAUUUCAAAAUGUAAUAUAAAAUUUACCUCGUUACGAGUGAGAAUGUAUAUGGGUGGUUCACUCGAGAACGUAGAAAUGGAAAUUGAAACCGUGCCCAUGAUUGCAGUAGUGACAGGUAACCUCCGAUUUUUGCUCUCCUCGGUUUGGUCGCCCGCACAUCUCCCGAUAUAAUGUUGCCAAGACGGCAGACCCCCAACUAAAUUCACCGGCUGCUCUAAAAUCAACGAGUUUUAGCAGCCACCUUAGAUGUACACGGCUCCGUGAUGUGUCGGCCAUUAGAUAGCCUCCAAUUAUUUGAAGAAUGUAUGAUCGAGCAUAUCGGAUUCUUUCAAUCUCGGUUGAAUUUUCAUUCAGACCGGGGAAGGUGGCACGUAACCAGCGCAUCUCCACCUUACCUCCAUCAUUUUAUCCGGAACGGCGCCCAAAAGCUCGUAGCACACCGCCUCCCAAUUGCUAGAUUGGGCAGACCUGGUCACUGGGUGCCCAUCCACCGGCAAUCCCAAAUGCAGAUGGACAUCUUCUAGAGUGAUAGUGCACUCUUCACAUGGAAGAUGAAAUGUGUGCGUCUCAGGUCUCCACCUCUCGAUCAACGCACUGAUCAGUUUCGACUCCAACUUGCAUCCCCGGCCUACCGUCGCCACGUGCCAAAAUCCCGCUUCCCGCAGGUAGCUCUCUACUAACGGUGAUGGAGCAUGCAUAUUCCGAAUAUUGCAUUCCAAUACCCGAUCUUCAGCCUUUUAUAACAAAAAAUAUAUUAAUAAAUAUCUAAAAAUACAUAAAUAAAAAUAUCUUUAAAAAAAUUUAAAUUUAAAUUUAAUACUUACCAUGUUCAUUUGCUCCAUCGAUAUGUGAUUCCUAUCAAGACGAAUCAAUGAUCCGGCCAUUAUGAAAAUAUUAAAAAUUUUAAAAUUAUUUUAAAAAAAAUAAAAAAUUUAAAAUUUUCUUAAAAAAAUGAAAUUUAAUGGAAAAAGAAUUUAAUAGGAUUUGGAGAUUUUUUGAAGGAAAUUGAGAGGAUUUUGGAAGGAAUUUGAGAGUUUGAGAGAAUUUUGGAGGAAAUUGAUAGAAAUUUUGAAGGGAAUUGAGAGAAAUUUUGAAAGGAAUUGAGAUAAUUUUUGAAGAAAUUGAUAUUGAAUUGUUUGUGAAACUAAAAGGGGUGGGGGGGUUUAUAUAGUAAAAAAAAAUUUGACCGUUUGGGGGGGCAACGGUCAAUUUUUUUACUGUUGGGCACUGUUCACGCGCGCGUCCACAUCGCGCUGACGUGGACGCGAUCUUCUGCCCCGUCCCCUGACAUCGCUCCGAUGUGGCGCGAUUUUGGGGGAAACGGCCCAGUCCGGUAAAUAAUUAAAAAAUUGGCCUAUUUCGAUAAUUUUAUAAAAAAUUUGGCUUUUUUUUGGUAAAUCCCUCAUUAUUUGCUGUAUAGCACAAUUAUAUAAAGAUAUUAGUUUAAAUACUGUUUUAAGAUAAACAAAAUGACAUUUAUACUACUAUAUAUGAAGGGCCUUCCUUUUUUGACACCUGGCUUGUUUUUUAUUAUUAUUAUUUUUUUACAUUCUUAACAAUGGUUAAUUUUCAAUUUUGUUCCCUCUAUUUUUUAAUUAUAUAAAAAUAUUCAAAUUUCAAUUUUAGUCCCUAUAUUGGAAUUUGUUUUAUAUAAUUUAGUAUUUCAACGUUUAUAAUGUCAUUAGUUAGUCUAAAUAUUUUAGUCUAAUUAAAAUGCUUCCUAAAUUUAAAGAAUUGUUAACAUCAUUAAAUUUUUUGUUAAACUCUAGUCCAUUGUAAUGUCAUUUUUUGUGACAUGAUUAUCGAGUGAGUACAUUUAAAAAAAAUUAGAAUGUCACACCAACAAAUUUAACAGAAGAAUUUUAAUGGUGUUAACAAUUGAAUUUUAAUGGUGUUAACAACUGAACCUAAAUUUUUAUAUUCAAAAAAUAGAGGAACCAGAUUCUUAAAAAAAAAAAUCAAGGAUUAAUUUCAAAUAUACAGAGAGUACAGAAACUUGGAACAUAUAUGUAACAUCUAAAAUUUAACUAUUUAGUCCAAAAAUAAUUAACCCAAUAUGAAGCGUGAGUCGAAAACCAUACUAAAUAUACAUUAAAAGUAUAUUUAUUUAAAACUAUUAAAUAUAUUUAUAUUUAAAAGUAAUUUAUAAAUAUAGAAGCAUUUUAGUUAAUUUUGUUAUGAGGUUUACAUUAUGAGAGUGAAAGUAUAAUUUUUAAAGAAUAUUUAUUUGUUAAGUGGAAGAUAUGAUUUUGUUGUUAAAGAAAUAUUAAAUAAAAAUAAUGUAGAUAUGUUCAAUAUGUAAAUAAAAUAUUGAACUAAACUUGUUUAUAUAUGAAAUAUGUUUGUUAAUUUAAUAUAAAUAUAUUUCAUAUUUAAUUAAAUUAAUACUUAUAAUUGAUACAUGUUGUUUUAUCUUUUAUAUUAUAAUUUAGUUAUAACUUUCUAUAUUACUUUCAAUUUUUUUAUUUAUAAAAUAUAAUUAAUUUUAAUUAUACUUACAUUAAAUCUGUUAUAUAUAUUAUUUAUUUUUAUUUUAUAAAAAAAAUAAAUGCAUUUAUUCACCUACAACGUAGGGGAGAAAGAAAUCUAAAACCAAACAUCAGAUGAGGAAUAAAAGCAUUUUAAAAUAGGAGAUUUGAUAUUUAUGGAAAAUUGACCCACUGCUGACAUGAUCUAACAAAACAAUCAUGGCAGUAGUGGACAAAGGUUAGACACAUUUGAUGCAAAAUUCCCAUACAAUCUCACCUUAUAUUCCUUGUUUAUAGACUGUACUUCAAUCCUAACGUGCCUUGCCUACCAAUGUUGCUUGCUUCCUGUUUUAGGUUUCCAGGUUUCCCCUAAACAGCCUUUGGGUAUCUACAGUACCUAAACGCCAAGUUAUAUAACCCCCUUCUUUUUGUUAUUCAUGAGUUGACAAGUAAAAAAGGACGUGUUCAAUUAUUCAUUUUGUAAUUAAAUAACUGCAAAUUUAUAAUGAAAAGGAAUUACUUUGUGACCCCAUGCUUUCAUUCAAAUUUUAUUUUAUGUAAUUCGUUUUUACUUAAUUCCUCAAUAAUUUAUUUGAUAUAAGUUAUACAAAGAUAUAAACAAUAUUGUUGACUAGUAUGAUAAAACAUAGAAUUGGUUUAAAUCUAAUUAUUUAAUUGAAGUUUAGAUGAAUUUAAAGUGAUGGCUAUGUAUGAAAAAACUUUCAACUCCUACAAUGUCAUCAACAACAGAAAGCCGACAAUGAUUGAAAUCCAAUUCAUAAAGAUAACCAAAAGAAACCCCAGCAAGGUAGCAUUGCAGCAGAUAAUAAUAAUAAUAAUAAUAAAUAAUAAUAUAUGAUUCCAUCCUACGGAACUUCAUAAAAACCAUAUACUGUAAGGUAUUGCCAUCAUUUUCAACUUCUCUUCAUGUCCUUAUCUUCCUAUCCCCUACCCCCAAUUCCCAUUAUAUAUAUGUGCAUGCAUAAAUGCCAAAUUAACUAAUCAAAUUCUAUGCUAUGGGUUGCAAUUGCAAAAAGAUUGAUGUAGUAGACGGGACGAGAAGUAGAAGCUUUCGCUACGAAGAUUACAAUAAUCGAAGAGCGUUUUUGCGGAGCUAUCCUCUUCAAUGGGGUGAAGACGAAGAUGAACAAGAAAGAGUGACGGCAACCAAAGAAAGCAGUACCGAGAAAAAAGCCUAUAAAGAAGUUCAUGCAAUCUGUAUAUCAUUGGAGUGGGGAAAAGGUUGUGGUUUUGAGGAGAUUCAAGGAUAAGCUAGCUGUUUAUGUUGUUGCCUGUCUUCCAAUCCGCUUUAAGUCACCUCUAUUGCCCUAAUUUCUGUUUGAUUCUUCUAAAUUUCUCUUCUUAUCUUUAUUCUAAAUUCCAGGUUUUGAUAUCAUGCACAUCAUAGGCAUAUGUAUGGUAUAGGUAUCCUCUAAACCCUGGGUUUAACUCAAUUAGUUCGUAUACCCAUUCUGAAAGUUCAAAUCUCACCAUUUGCAAUCAUUAAAUGAACUGAAAUCGCAAAAUCAGCAACACAAGGAGUUUCAGUAAACAACUGGGAGAUGAUGAAAAGGAAGACAAGAAGGUUUAACUAUAUAAACGAAAAGAAUCAAAUUAGGCAAUUGGAGUAGUCCAUUCACCAUAAAUUGUAGGCACACCGCAGGUAAUGUUAGAUGACAAUGCAAAAUGCUAACUGAAAAAUCAUCAAUAAAGAACAAUCAGCCAAAGAAUGCUAGGGUGCUUUUGAAAUAAGUUUUUUACAUAGUUCUUCCAACAUUGGUAAAACUCUUUUCAUCAUCCAAACACUUUUAAACAUGUUAAAUUUCAACAAGAACAUUAGCUCACACGGCAAAGAUUGGAUCCCUCCUCCGAACAGUAGAGGGUGUGCUCCUUGUUCAGAAAAAUAUUAUUGAGACACCCAUUGUGAAGCAUCCUACAGCCACCCAGGGACUUAACCGUUCACCUGAUUCAAGAAAUAUACUAGUUAGUCCCACAAAUUGUAAUGCAUUGCUAAUGAAAGGGUAACAUCGAAUGAGUUUUGGAUUUUUUUUUCACAACCUACAUUCCAAAAUGGUUCAACUAAAGUUCCACAUCAUUGGGAUCCACUCUAAUUCAAUCCCAAAUACAUGCCUAAUUUUCUACAAGAAAUAACCUUUCAAAUGAAAAGGAGUCCAGGACACAAACAACUAAAAGAACCUUUUAAUGAAGCAAUAAUACCAGUUUGCAAAUGUAGAGUAUAUAUUUAUUUAUGGCAAGAAUUAUGAGCUACAAAUGAAAUAUUUGGCGCACAUAAAUAUUUAAAUUAACAUGCCCAUCUGCAUAUAUAUGGUCUUGAACUUAAACGGCAGGUUGCUAAUGCAACUCCACUACACAAAUAGCUCAAGAGACAACUUAUCUCAUUAUGGAUUUCCGACAAACAAAAACUGAUAUUGUAUAACAAUCAUAGUUCAUUCACAACCAAUUAAAGCAGUAAACUCACAAGUCAAAGGCAUUUAAGUUGGUAUAAACAACAAACGGAACAAUUCAGGUGCUUCUUCAUGCCAAUUAUUGCAAAACUGGAUAGAGCAUCAAUACAAAUAAUUGUUCUUAUGUGAAAAUAACUGCCGAAACCCCAUGACUGCUGUUCAACUUUAUCGUUAUUGUCAUCCCUUUCCCUCCCAGUCAAAAUAUCAUUACCAUCCUAUUCUAAUUCACGACUUUAUGAGAUUUUAAUUCUAAAACAAAGCACAAGUUCUCUAUACAAUAUGAUUAUUUAAAAUGAUAUAGCUAAAUUUUUGUCUUUCACUUUUAGUCUCAUUUCCAGAAUCAUUUUGGAAUCAUAGAUAAUUAUCAUCCUGCAUUUUUGAGCCAAUCACUAUCAUAUUUAUUAUCAACUAAUUUAAAGGCUUCAUACACGAUAAACAUUAUAUGUCCAAAUAAGAUUCAGAACAGGGGGACACUACAUGACUAUUCCAAAUUCUCAAUGCAACCAGAAAGAAGUAAACCAAGCAGAAAAGAAGACCCACCUAUUCUGGCUGCCUUCCAAAAGAAACCACGGAACCUGUCAAACAAGCAUAUUACACCAAAUUAGCUCCAAUUCUCAACACUUCCUACCAAUGACUUCUGAUUCCAAAGUAGAAGCUAUAAAUACUAGAAACAAAAAUGUUAAUAUAACCAAUUUAGAUACCAAAGAGAAGAGACAAAGAGGGCCAAGAUUAACUGGAGUUAUGCUACUUUAAUUAAUCUAAGCUCUUCAUAGAGAAAGAAAUCAAGAAGUUGAAGUUAUCUAAGAAGAUGCACAUGAUCAGAAAAAAGAGAAAAAAGCCAAAAAAAUUUCUUGUUACGAUUGAGAACUCUACUUCAAACUUCACCAAUGCUAAACUUACAACUAUAUCAUUGUGACUAUAUUUGUUGCCUUGCUAGUUGCCACCCAAAACAGUCCAUUUAAUUUGCAAAAUUGCAUCAAACAAAAUCAAGACAUAAGACAAUAAAUUUGAUUGCUCAAAGAUGAAAGAAGGCAAAAAUCAAAACCAGCCUAGUUAGAAAUCAUCUGUUUUCCUUCUCUUUCUCUUUUAAUUUCUUUUUUGCAAUGGAUGGAAUAUACAAUAGAGGAAAUCUAGCUCCACAAACAUUUGGUUACAACAUCAACUGCCCCAACAUCCCCCAUCUCAAUACUUUUCAGUUCAACGUAGCUAUUCCAAAUUACAAAUCUAACUCAUCUAUACGAACACCGCAAAACUAACUGCAUGACUUAAUCACAUACAACUUGAUUAUAGUAGCAAUCGCCCCAACAUCCCCCAUCUCAAAAGUUUCCAGCUCAAAGGCAGUUAUUCCAAAUUACAAAGCUAAAACAACUACAAAAGCACUACAAAACUAACUGCAUGACUUGCAGACAUUUAACAAUUAUGCCAAGGCACACAAUCUAGCAUUCAAUUGCCAAAAUCAGUUCUGAUUGAAAUGAAAAUACAAGCUUAAAUCAACUACAAAUAUAGUAAUGAGAACUGUUCAACACUAAACCAAUAAAACAAAUAGAAGAAAAUUAGAAAGAGAGCGAGAGGAUAUACCCAGUUCUCUGUUCAAGGAUAGCUGGAAAUUGCAUCUUCAAGUAAGUGCAGGUGCAGAUUCCCAAUAGCACUACCGUUAAGAAUGAACGGAAAUUGAAGAGUGCCGACUGAAAGCGCACAUCAGAAAAUUAAUUUUAACUUUUUACAGAUUUCGGAAAAUUAAAAGAAAAAAGCGAUUUCAGCAAAUUCGGAAAAAUAGAAAGUUAGGGUUUUUCUUACCAUGGUUUUGGGAUAUUUCUUUGAUUGAUUGAUUAUCCACUUCAAAUGCCCAGUAGCAAAAAGAAGGUAAAAUUAAAAAAAGAAAAAAAAAGGGCUUUGGAUCAAAAAUCAAAAUGCAAUUUUUAUUGAAAGGCAAUGAGGUACCAAUUUUCCAGCUAGUGAGGAUUCGGGAGUUUUUUUGGAAUUAUAAAUUGGGGCAGCGAGUAAAAAGAAAAAAAAGGUCAUUAACGAAUCACGCUGCGCCACGUCAAAAUUCCACAUCAUGUCCACAUAAGUAAUCCUUGUUGGAAAAUAGUUUCUAUGUAAUUAUAUAAUAAUUUUAAUCCAUUUUAUACCUAUUUUUACCCUCAAGUAAGAAUCCUAAGUUUCUUCAUCAUCUUCUGCUCCUUGGUUUUAGUUGAAGGGGGUCGCAAUGCUUUAACUGUGUCAGCUCGAGCAUGGCUGCUUUGCUUUGAAUCGUUUUUGCUCAGUGAUUUUAGCAGUCUUCCUUCAACUGAGAGAACUAAAUGACAUGCAAUUAGUGUUGGACAAUGGCAGUCUUCCCUCAAUUUUAGGGCUCUUACUUGAGGGUAAAAAUAGGUAAAAUAAAAUGGAUUAAAAAUAUUAUAUAAUUACAUGGAAACUAUUUUCCAACAAGGAUUACUUAUGUGGGCAUGAUGUGGAGUGCUGCUACAUCAGAUCUCAUUAGUGAAUUAAUGGUUGGGUAAUUAAAAUAUUUAAUCAUGAUAAAAAUAAUAACUUUUAUUUGGGUGACCGAAAUGAAAAUACCUAAAUAAUUCAGUAACCAAUUAAAAAAUUUACCCAAAAAAUAAACUAUAGGCCCACAUAUUAUAAAACUAGAGGGAGAAAAGGUAACACUUUUUUCUUUUUACUAAACAAGCUUUAUACAUACCUAUAUUUAAAGGCCUGGCAACAUCAUAAUAUACCACAAGUUGUUGUAAUUGCACAUUAAAAUUUUAAAUAAUUUAUUACUCAUAAAUUCUUGAGAGUUUGGGUAGACUUUUAUGUACACUUGAUUUGGAUUAAAAUUUUAUUAGAAAAAACAUGUGAGAUGAAAACUUAAAGAAUGAAAAAAGGUACACAAUCUUCUAUUAUAAGUUGUUUCGUUAAAAACUUUUAUUAAAAAAGUUUAAUAAGACAAAAUCUUAGUUAAAUGAAAAGAAUACAACUCUCCCUAAUGACAACAUCACUUAAUAUCUUUGAGCCGACGCAUUCCAAUUUUAUAUGUUUCAACCUUUCAAAUGUUGCAAUUGGUAAUGAUUUGAUAAAUAGAUUUGUUAAAGUAUCAUUAAAACAAUUUUGUUGAACUUUCGUAUCACAUUUCUUCUCAAGGUCAUUAGUUAAAUUUGUUUCAUUCCCUUUAACUGAGUUGUACAUGUUACAUUAUCUUCGUAUAAGAUAACAGACAUCUUUUCCUAUAGAGGUGAAUUGCAUAUUUUCUGAAUAUGUUGGGUCAAUAGUUUUAACCAAACACACUCUCAACUUGCAUCAUGCUUAGUAAUUUGUUUCCGCAUGAUUUGAAAAGGUGGCAACAAGUAAUGUUUAUUUUGUUAAAUGUCAUGAUAUGGUUGCACCUCCAAGUGUAAGUAAAUAUCUUGUUUGUGAUUGACCUCCAUGUGGAUCUAAUAACUAUCCAACAUCUACAUAGCCAAUUAAUUGAGAUUUUGAAUCAUUCAAGUAAAAUAACCUCAUACCAAUUGUUCCUCUGAGAUAUCUAAAUGCAAGUUUAAUUACAUUCCAAUGUUUGUGUGUUGGAGAAGAGUUAAAUAUUGCUAACAAACUUACAUUAAAUAUUAUAUCAAGUCGUGUGUUGUUUGCAAGAUACGUUAAUACCUCAAUGACACUAAGAUGUGAUAUUUCAUAGAGUUAAAAGACAAAACCAAAUUGAGGACAAUAUUGACCUAUUGAGGGGUCCACUAGCUCCCAACAAACGACAUUUCGAAGACUUCUCCUGAAGGAAUUAGCCUCCCUCAACAAAAAAUCACUAGCUCAAGAGGUAACAUAGCUGCUCACAAGUGUCUUAUAUGUUGUAGGGUAUGAGCUCAAAUCUUACCAAGUGCAAUUAUUCUCAUUUCCUCAGUUGGUGGUUGUGUGUCACACAUUGUUCAUCCUGACAAGGCACUACCACUUUGUUGAACUUGCUGCCUCUUCAAACAGUCUUAGGCACUUGAGAUCUCGUCAGAGUCAGGAGAUAAAACAUCAAUCAAGAACAAUAUCGGAUGUGUAGAGGGGUUCACCAACUUCGAACGGACGAUACUUCAAAAACUUAUCCCAAAAGAGAUAUAAAUCCUUCAACUAAAGAAAAUAUAUUAUUUAAAUUAUUUCAGUAUUAUAUUGCAAAUUUGUGCUUCUCAAUUUUUUUUCCUUCAAGGAAAUGAAUUUUGCAAAAUAAAAUGGGUAAAAUACACAUAUAUAAAUUUAUGCUUUAGAAAAAUUCAUUUCACCUUAAAAAAAUCAUUUUAAUCCAAAAUUGGUUCAUAGUUCUUAUUAUAAAAAUUUCUCAUAAAUUUGCUCAAAAUUGAUGACGUGGACUCGUUUAGUGUGUGCUUGAUUAGGUGGAAAAUGGAGAGAUAAAAAGGAUGGUGUAAAAAAGUGGAAAGAAAAUAAAUUUUGAAUAUGUUUGAUAGUGAAAAAUAGUAAAAGAAAAUAAAAGAAACGAAUAUUUUUCAUCAUAAUGCAUAAAAAUCAAUUCUUACAAGUUAGAAAUAUGAGGGUAGAGAAAAUGAGAAAGGGGUGUUAUUUUCUUUCCCUUCUAUUUUUCAACUCUACCAAGCAAUGGACAAAAAAAAAUAAUAGACACUUGGCAUCUCGAGAGAACACCAGAAAGAUACCUAUAAAUAGUUUCCCACCUCUUGUCCUCCAUAUCGUCAUUAGCUGCUCAACUUCCCAUAUAAGUCACCUCCCAUUGGACCAUCCACCACCAGCAGGAACGUCCCUUACAUUAGGCCACCCGCUUUUUAGUGUGAAUGAGUGUUCUUGGUUGGGUGGAAAAGUGAAAAGAAAAUAGAAUUUGGGUGUGCUUGGUUGGGAAGGAAAGUAAAAGGAAAGAAAAUAGGAGAAAUGAUCAUUUUUCAUCCUAAUGCAUAAAAAUCAAUCCAUCCAAAUUGGGAUGACAAGAGAAGAGAAAAUGAGAAAGAUAUGUGUGUUAGUUCAAAAUUAUGCAUUUUCAAAUGCUUUAUUUUAUUUCCUUACAUUUUUCAACUAUACCAAACAAUUGAUGGAAAUAAAAAGUAAGAUUGCUUUUGGUUUUAAGAAAUAGAAGUCAUUUUCAUUUCUAUUUUCUUGAAAAAUAGAAAAUAUUGAAGAAAACAUGUUUGGUUGAAUUUUUUAAAAAAUGACUUUUCAAAAAUAAAAAAGAAAAUAUGUGAAAAUUAGAAAACAAUAAAAAGUUGUUUUCAUUGUUUUCACUAAAAAUGUUUUGUAAGAGUGAAAAUGAUGAAAAUAAGGGUUUUUAAAUUGAGAUGAAUUGAAUAUGGUUAAAAAUAUUUUCUUUAUUUACCAAACACUUUUUUCAAUUUUUAAAUGAAAACUAUUUUUUGAAAAUGAAAAUGUGAUUAGAAAAUAUUUCUAGAAACCAAAUGGAGCCUAAUAUUCUUCUAGUUUUUCUAUCUCUCCCCCCAAGAACACUUAUAGAAAAGAAAAAUUUUGUUUUUCAUCCUUCUAGUUUUCUACCCUUUCAAUUUUUCAUCCUUCCAAAUUUGUUUCCACUCUAUCAAGAAAAACCCUAGUGUGAACACUCCUUUUAGAGGCCAUUGGGGUCUACUUGAGCAUAAUAACCUUGUAGUGCCUCAAAAGGAAUAACAGAAUAAGCCCUACAACGUGUGUUACCCACACACUCCAUAAUGACAACCCAAUUGGUAAUAACCUACAACGUCAUCAUUAUUAGACAAAAAGACUCUUCUUCACACUCACUCACGACACUCAGCCUUUUCAACCUCCUUAUUCUCUUCCCUACUUACAUCGUUUCUUCUACUAUUUGCCUGUUUAGGUGAAUCGGCCUCUUUUGCUUCACUAUCUCCUCUCUUGUUAAUACCCUUCACCAAUACUUAAUACUCCUAUUUUCUUUCCUUUCAUUUUUCUCCCUUACCACAUACAGGGCAAUUUACCAAAAAAAGCCGUUUUUUUUCAAAAUUUACCGAAAUGGGCCGAUUUUUUGAUUAUUUAUCGGAAUGGGCCAUUUUUCGUGAAAUCGCGUCCACGUCAGCGCGAUGUCAGGGUACGUGUCAGAACAUCGCGUCCACGUCAGCGCGAUUUGCUUACGUGGACACAAAUCGCGCCUAUGAGGACGCGAUUUGCUGACGUGGAUGAACAGUUUAUGUUUUUAAGCUUGGAAAACUUUGAAAGGCCAUAACUUUUCGCUCGGUUAUCUGAUUGAGACGAAUUUUUUUUGAUUUCGAAUAACUUUUCGAGAUCCAUGCGCUGAAAAACAGCCGAAGGUGGUUUGCCACAGUUUUUGUCAAAAAAGAUCCUUUUUUGCCCCUAAAUUUUGAUUCUUUUCAGUUUAAAAUUGAAUUUUGAAACAUUCAAAUCAUUAUUUUCCUUAUUUAUUUGAAGUAAACACCGGAUCUCUUUUUACAGAAUUGUCUUAUAUCAUCUUGUUAUAGGUAUAAGUCAGCUCAUUCCACUUUUGAGAAGUUCCCUAAAAUUUUCCAUUUUAUUCAAUUUAGUCCCUAAAACCUAAAUAGUCAUAUUUUCAAAUCUAAGCUUCGUUUUUCAAUUCAAAUUCAAUUUCAUCCCUCCAUAACAUUCAAAUAUUCUUAAAUACAAAAAUUUCAUGCUAAUUUUGGAAUAAUUACACUUUAGUCCCUAUACUCGUAACUAACAAAUUAUACUUUACAAAUUAGUCCCUAUUCAUCUCUAAGCAGUUUGUCAGCGCGUAGAUCUCGAAAAGUUAUUCGAAAUAAAAAAAAUCGUCUCAAUCGGAUAACCGAGCCAAAAGUUAUGGCCUUUCAAAGUUUUUCAAGCUAAAAAACAUAAACUAUUCAUGCCACGUCAGCAAAUCGCAUCCUCUAGGGCGCGAUUUCCGUCCACGUCAGCAAGUCGCGCUGAUGUGGACGCGAUUUCGCGGAAAAUGGACCAUUCCGGUAAAUAAUUAAAUAAUUAGCCCAUUUCGAUAAAUUUUGAAAAAAAAAGACUUUUAUUUGUAAAAUACCCCCACAUACACUCAAUUUCUUUUUUCUUUCUUCCACUUUUUCACACAACCAAAUACACUUUUAGUGCGAUAUUGAAUCAAUUAACAAACUACAAAGCAAGUAAAGCAUAUAUAAAUAAUUUUUUUGCAGCGAUAUGUAUAUUUGAUACAAUAUUAUGUUAAGUCAGUUUACUUUAACUUGUUCAUGUAAAUUUUAACAUCAACAACCUUUCUCUCUCUUCAUGACUUAUAUAUUAGGAAUAGAUUUCAUAAUGAAAAAAGAAUAGUUUGAUUACAGUCAUAUGAAUAUAAUGAGAGACAUUUAAAUUAAAACAUAUGGUCUCCAGAAAGCUUCAAGAAACCGAUGAAUAUUGAGGAAAAUUUGGGCCAAAUUCUGAAGACUUUUAAAGGGAACGGAUAGUGAAUUUUUGACAACAAUGCAAAACUUUACCAUGGCAAAAAGAAACAGGGAGAGCCCUUUUGCAAAAAACCAGUAAAUCUUUGAACUUCCUAAACCAUCGACCAUGUUGUUUGUCUUCUCGGACAAUAAUCAUCUAUGUUGUUAAUCAUGAUCCAAUUCUCUCAAGAUUAUCUGAAACAGUUUUCAUCCUUGGUCGAAUCUCAGGGUCCGCUUCAGUGCAUGCAAGAGCAACCUGAAAAACAGCCAACACUUCUUUCUUGGCAUGCACUUCUUGUAAUAACAUCGGAUCAACCAUGUCUGACAAUGGCUUUUCUUCUUCAAAGCCUUUCCUCACCCACCUUACAAGGUCCAGAAUUUCCAUGGAAGUUGAUGUGGUCGGUGAUAGCUCCGGAGACUUGCCCGUUAACAGCUCCAGUAAUACGACUCCAAAUGAAUAGACAUCCCAUUUUUGUGUUGCUCGGUUGCCAGGGACUCGAGCCUCCGGUGCUCGAUAACUGUUGGUUCGUUCCGUUUGGAUUGAUUUGUAAGGGAGUCCACCAAUGAAGCCGCCGGAUGAAGAAUCGGGGUUGUUUCCAGUGAUGUUAAUGAGCCUGUUGAGGCCGAAAUCAGAGAUGUAAGAUUGGAAUUCGUUGUCAAGGAGAAUGUUAGAUGGCUUGACGUCUCCAUGAACAAAUUUUCUUGGACUGCAUUCAUGAAGAUAGGCCAAGCCACGGGCUGCUCCCUUUACAAUUUUCAGCCUUACUGACCAUGAGAGGCUUGUUGAUGGCUGACCAUUUCUGCCUGUAAAAAACCCAAUCUCAUUAACCUACUAAUGUUACGGAAAAUAUCCACUCAAAUUGAGACUCUAAACAAGUUGAUAUCAACAAUAAUGCAAUAUCUACCACUUUUAAUCCAUUUACAUUUUAAUUUAAUUUUAAUUUAAAACUGUCACAUGUCACAAAAUGAUUGGUUAAAAAAUUCUUUUAACGAUAUUAUUUUGAGUAACAGAAUAUAGUUGAAGUAUUACUUCUGACCCAAAUUUUUUUUUAAAAUGAUAUCAUUUAACUAUUAUUUUAUGAUUUAAGCCUUAAAUUUUGGCAUAUGUAUACACAAUUUUGUAAAAGGGUUUUAAAUAUUUAGAUGAUUGUAUUUAUAUGUAUACAUAAUAGUUUAAAAAUUGAAGAUGAAAGUGAAGUCACAAGAAGAUCCUAGCAGGUCCCAUCAAUGUGGUUUUUACUUAACAAAACCGGGGGGGGGGGGGGACCUUCAUUGGGAAGAAAGCUAGCUACCCUUUUAUGCUUGAGAUAAAAGAGAGUAGAAAAUCAAAAUGGAAAUAGGAUCAAAAGCACACUUUUUAUUUAUAUAUUUAUUUUACUAAAAGUCUGUCUCUGUUUAAAGUGAAGAAGAAAGAUAACUAUAGAGGAAGAUGCCCAGACCAAAGCCACUUUAACUAAAGUCUUAGAUUUGAAGUAAUAUUUUUCUUCUUUUUUGUUACCAAGGUUGUUGUUUUGAUCUACAAAGGCUGAAACUAUAUAUUAAAAUGGGGACAAUCUAAAAGCAUGCAAGGGAAGGCUGCACAGCAUUUUAUGUUUUGAUUAAACCCCUAACAUAAUCCACACUAAAGAUCCAGUGAGUCAUCUUCUUUGAGUUGUGACACAUCAUCAUCUUGUGAUUGAAACUUGAAAUGCUGAAAGCCUCAAAGUUAAUGUCAAUGCUCCUUUUUUAUUAUUUUAUCAUAUGAUGAUGAUGAUGCAUCGCCAAUGGUGAGGGACCUACCUUUUUGGUAGUAUUCAUUUAAAACCAUUCAACCAACCCAACUCUAUAAGCAACCCCACAACAUUAAUUACUAAUUCUUUCAUAUAGAGACCGUUGCUAGAACGUUCGUGGCUCUUUAAUAUUGUGUGUAAAUAUGAUUCUUUUAAUUACAUAAAAUUUAGGGGGAAAAUUGAUGAGAUUAAAUUCAAAACCAGUAUAACUAUUAGUGAAGUAAUAAGUUUAAGGAUAAAAAUGAGGUAUAGGGUAACAAGAAAUGAAUGAAGUGUUGACAAAAGUUUCGGCACUGCAAUAACAACGGAAAGGGACUGCACUGCCAAGGCCUAACGAGUCCUCGUGGGUGCGUAAUUACAGGCAAAACGGGUCGGCCACUUUGGACCACUUAAUUUCUCAAAUCAUCAACGUCGGAUUAUGGCUUCCAAAAACUAGUAAUUAAGGCAAAACAAGAAUAGGAAUUCUAAGUUUUGUUUAUAAACAUAAUAAGGACACGUUUAAAGAAAGACCAACCUAAAAUAUGAGAUUGCAGUAGGGUCAUAAUCGAGUCUAGUCAAGCUACAAAAGUCUGAGAUUUUAUUAUAAAUUAAGUUCACCAAACUGUUCGAACUAGUCAUAAUAUGAUUAUAUCUAGAAUAAUGCUUGCUAGAAUCGAGAGUUUAAUGCUUGCUAGAAUAACCCAAGCAGGAAAACAAGAAACUAACCUCUGAUGGCGUUAGCCAAAUUGCCAUUGGAGAUGAAAUCACUAAUGAGAAGCUUUUCAUCAGGGGCCCAAUAGUAAGCUCUCAGCUUCACCACAUUUGGAUGCUUCACUUUCCCAAUUGCUUGAACUUCAGCCACAAACUCCUUGUACCUUUGCUCUCCACCUUCGCCGCCCAAUCUCCGAACAGCCACCGGGAUCCCAUUUCCCAGCACCACUUUGUACACUAUCCCAAGCCCACUCUUACCCAACACAUAAGCCGACGCUCUAAGCAACUCGUCCAACUCAAAACUGAACCCUUUAUCAAUGGCAACUAGCUCGCCUUCCCCUUUCCCCGAUUUCUCCCCUUUUUCAUUGUCUUCCAAUUCCGAGUCAUUGUUGCGACACUCAUUGAUGCAUCCAAAAGGACAAACGGAACAAAAUUUCCCUUUGUUGUUAUCGCCAAACUUGGUUUUCCCAGUGCAACUACAACUAUUUGAAGAAUCUUUGUUUUUCCAGUAAAUAUAAACGAUAAUCAAUCCUAUCAACGCCACACCACCGGCAUCAGCUGCUGAGAUUAGUAUGAUUAAACCAGGGCUGAGCCCCUUUUUCUGGGUUUCGCCCGAAUUCGGACCCGAAUUUUGAGUCCCUGAAGAACUUGUACUCGAAUUGUUACACGACUUUUGAAGGGGAAACCCGCAUAAAAGAGGGUUGUUUAGAAAUGCGGUUGGUCCUUGAUUAGCAAACGAUCCCGUUUCAGGUAUCUUCCCGCUUAAAUUGUUGUUCCUGAGAUCGAAACUGACCGUCACCGGUAAGUCGCCCAAGCUUUUCGGGAGAUUACCGGAUAAGUGAUUGUAGGAUAGAUUGAGAGUGCCCGACAAUGAGUUUAACUCUCCGAUGGUACUAGGGAUCGGUCCCUUGAAUUCAUUCGAAGAAAGAUCGAGUUGGACCAAGUUGUCUAAUUCCGGCCAAAUUCCGCCGGGAAUUUCGCCGGAAAACUUGUUUUGAGCUAGAAUCAACCGCUGCAACUGCUUGCAGUUCUUG